GUCUGAGACUUGUUGGUAAGACAGAGUUUGGGAUUCACUGCUGUUACAAAUAGUAAGGAGAAUUUAUUAAAAAAGAUAUAAUGCAAUAGAGAAACAACUGAUAACUUAUAAGGGGUAUACUAUAUACAUGGUAUAUAUCAAUGAAUCAACAUUAGUAAAUACACAGCGAAAAAAAAAGAAACACAUACAAUUGCAAGAUGGCCCCUAUAUGGUUUUUUGAACCUCAUGGAAAAUUGACCAUCAGGUCAAAAUACAGCUAUGGCAAUUUAACCCCCUUGUAUGGAAAAUUGAACAUUGGGGUAAAAUAUAGAUUUUGGCUUACAAAAAAUGUAUAUCUCUGAAAACAAAGCAUUUAGAGCAAAUCUGACAUGGGGUAAAAUUGUUUAACCAAAUAUUAUGAAACUUACACACCCUGAUAAUAUCAACUAAAUGCAGAUCAAGUACAAAUUUGGGUAGGUCACUUUUACUGUUCUGGAGUUAUUUCCCUUAUUAUAACAUUAUACCUAUGCAAGAGGGGGCAUCAUCUGUGUCCCAUGGAGAUAAAAAAAAAAAAUUAUGAAAAUGGACAAAUCUGACAUUUUGAUAAACCAAAUAUUUAUAGUGAAUCUAGUGUUUUAUUUAGAGAUGUCUAAAAGGAUGGAACAUCAUGAUCCGGCAUGUAUUACAGCUGAUUUCCUUAUGCUUGCAAAGUAAAAC
RNAcentral lists this long non-coding RNA (696 nucleotides) under Mytilus galloprovincialis (Mediterranean mussel). The record is from RNAcentral. Lineage: Eukaryota; Metazoa; Mollusca; Bivalvia; Mytilida; Mytilidae.